This 73-nucleotide transfer RNA is filed under the name Candidatus Dojkabacteria bacterium. RNAcentral describes it as "tRNA-Thr". It matches the Rfam family "tRNA". From Rfam's summary of the family: Transfer RNA (tRNA) molecules are approximately 80 nucleotides in length. The record is from RNAcentral.
GCUGGUGUAGCUCAGUUGGUAGAGCAUUCCCUUCGUAAGGGAUAGGUCGACGGUUCAAUUCCGCCCACCAGCU